AACGCAUAUUGCACUCUCUGGCAUUCCGGAGAGUAUGCCUGUUUGAGGGUCGGUCGAAUAAAAAUCGACGUCUUUUUUUCGUCGGAAUUGGGUCGUUCUUUUUUUUUUAACCGAAGUGACCUAAAAUUGAAUCUUUUUUUUCGAUGAACUCGUCUAAAUUUUUUGUGGGGUUCGUCUUAAAAAUGUGCAUUGAACGCGACCAUUUUUUUUGUGGUUGAACGUGUUCAUGAUUUUUUUUCACAAUUCGACCUCAAAUCAGGUAAGAGUACCCGCUGAACUUAA
RNAcentral lists this unclassified non-coding RNA (282 nucleotides) under uncultured fungus. RNAcentral describes it as "partial contains 5.8S ribosomal RNA, internal transcribed spacer 2, and large subunit ribosomal RNA". The record is from RNAcentral. Lineage: Eukaryota; Fungi.